This 148-nucleotide non-coding RNA is filed under the name Homo sapiens (human). The record is from Rfam by way of RNAcentral. Lineage: Eukaryota; Metazoa; Chordata; Mammalia; Primates; Hominidae.
GCCAGGCAUGGUGGUGCAUGCCUGUAGUCCCAGAUACUUGGGAGGCUGAGGCAGGGGAAUCACUUGAACCCAGGAGGCAGAGAUUGCAGUGAGCCAAGAUUGUGCCACUGUACUCCAGCCUGGGUGACAGAGUGAGACUCCGUCUCAA